GUGAGGAAUAUUGGUCAAUGGGCGGGAGCCUGAACCAGCCAAGUCGCGUGAAGGAAGAAGGAUCUAUGGUUCGUAAACUUCUUUUGCAGGGGAAUAAAGUGCAGGACGUGUCCUGUUUUGUAUGUACCCUGAGAAUAAGGAUCGGCUAACUCCGUGCCAGCAGCCGCGGUAAUACGGAGGAUCCGAGCGUUAUCCGGAUUUAUUGGGUUUAAAGGGUGCGUAGGUAGUUUGAUAAGUCAGCGGUGAAAGUUUGCAGCUUAACUGUAAAAAUGCCGUUGAAACUGUCGGACUUGAGUGUAAAUGAGGUAGGCGGAAUGCGUGGUGUAGCGGUGAAAUGCAUAGAUAUCACGCAGAACUCCGAUUGCGAAGGCAGCUUACUAAGCUACAACUGACACUGAAGCACGAAAGCGUGGGGAUCAAACAGGAUUAGAUACCCUGGUAGUCC
Molecule: ribosomal RNA, 445 nt
Filed under: uncultured bacterium
Lineage: Bacteria
Description: partial 16S ribosomal RNA
Rfam family: Bacterial small subunit ribosomal RNA
Source: RNAcentral